RNAcentral lists this non-coding RNA (20 nucleotides) under Arabidopsis thaliana (thale cress). The record is from RNAcentral. Lineage: Eukaryota; Viridiplantae; Streptophyta; Magnoliopsida; Brassicales; Brassicaceae.
UUCAGUUCAAAUGCGACUGC